AUGGCCAGUGCUUAUCAUUGGGAAGCUCGGAGAAGACAGAUGGCUCUAGACAGGAGAAGACACUAUCAACUUCAACAGGAACUGAAGAAUAAAGCGAUUGACAGUGAUCUGGAAGAACAAAGAUAUUGCAUGGGACUUGAACCCUAUCAGAGAUAUCACUCUCCAAGCCCGGAAGCCCGUUACCCAUAUGGCAACCUGAGCCCUGAGCCCUCUCACCGGAACUCUGGCCUGUACGCCCCCGACGAUACUCCGGAAGACCUGCGGGGCAACUACAUCUUUCCUGAACACCGGGGGGUAAGCCAGUGCCUGUGCCAAUGCCAAUGCCAGUGUCACUACCAAGGCCAAGGCAGCCACUAUCAGAGGGCCUACGACCAGGAUGACGAGGAAGAUCAGGAGCAGGGCCAGAGCAAGCGGGAGAGGGGUCGGGACCGGGGCCGGGAGGACCGAGACCUAUGCAAGAGCCAUCGACCCAGCAAGAGCCAGGUCCGGAAUCGGGAACAGGGCCAUUAUCAAAAUGGGAAAGGUAGUCACCACCACAAAUCUCACCUCGGAGGUCAUCACAGUCACCAACAAGCGGCCACUCCACGUCCCCAAGAAUACAAACACAGUAAGUACAGUUGGUCCCUAGAGCUGGGGGGUAGGUCGAGAGAGGCUGAGCAGGGGUGGCCCCCCCAGGGAGGCAGGAUGGGGCCUCCCAGCUCCCUUUCCUCUGGAAACAGGCCGGCUUAAGAGAAAAACUGUGGGUGGCCCCCCUUGCCUACAUUCACACCUCAAGAUUUCUCAAACACCGCUAUGCAGGCAGGGAGUUGGAGGUCAGCA
This 819-nucleotide long non-coding RNA is filed under the name Monodelphis domestica (gray short-tailed opossum). Its description in RNAcentral is "lncRNA (ENSMODG00000047948.1)". Lineage: Eukaryota; Metazoa; Chordata; Mammalia; Didelphimorphia; Didelphidae. The record is from RNAcentral.